CGUACCGCGUAUGUAUACCGUAACAUGGUUACCAUGUAACGCACUAGGGACAACAAAUACAGUCUUGUCACUCUUAUGGCACUUAGAUAUGCAGACUUUUUCACACAACGUAUAAUUAGUACACGCCAAAUUGCAGCACACAUUACAGUUCGUCCCAUUACAGCAGUCGCCCUUCGGACAGAUUCCGCAGUUAAACCCCUUGCAUGUCAUAAGACAGUUAUGAUCAGUGCAAGUGCUGCAACCUUGAUCGGUACACCAGUGCAUUUCCUCUCUCUUUUGAAGGCAGCGAUUAUCACUCUUUGAGCAAUUUGAUGGGAUUUCCAUGCAUUGGACACUAUGAAGAGCGACGCACGUGGUAAUGGAAUCCAUUGCCAAGCCACUAUCAGUUGAUGAAGGGAACGCUGUUGAAGCGUCGACAUGGGCGUACGCAGGGAGGGGCAAGGGGGGCAGCUGCCCCCCUCUGGCCUGGCCACAGCACAGGUUACGUUUUAUGUUUGUUAAAAAAUAUCUGUAAGAAUUGUCUUUGUUGGCUUCUAAUUCAAAACCUUUUCCUUUGAGAUUUAAGCAAUGAAAAAGGCUAUUAGGGUACCGAUCCCGAAAAUCGCUGUUCCCGUGCCCAUCGGAUUAUUCGGCACACCGGCACCUGCAUAGCUAGGUGCCAGCCCGGCUCGCCUGCCGUCGGGCUGAGCGAAGUUAUCGUUCACUAAUCGCGCGUUAACACAAACCACUGUGCAGUGGUCCGCCAGUGAUGUUCCGUCUACCGGUUUGCCUAAAAUUCUACCGAUAUACCGAAAAGGCCUUUAUAUCUACCUAUCUAUUUUCGCCCCGUAUUUUUUUUGCAUAUUUUAUACACAAUUAAUUGAUAUAA
Molecule: long non-coding RNA, 868 nt
Organism: Photinus pyralis (common eastern firefly)
Lineage: Eukaryota; Metazoa; Arthropoda; Insecta; Coleoptera; Lampyridae
Exons: 3
Source: RefSeq, a predicted model, not a curated record